This 497-nucleotide ribosomal RNA is filed under the name uncultured bacterium. Its description in RNAcentral is "partial 16S ribosomal RNA". It matches the Rfam family "Bacterial small subunit ribosomal RNA", at positions 28 to 507 of the family's 1533-position model. The record is from RNAcentral.
GACGAACGCUGGCGGCGUGCCUAAUACAUGCAAGUAGAACGCUGAAGAGAGGAGCUUGCUCUUCUUGGAUGAGUUGCGAACGGGUGAGUAACGCGUAGGUAACCUGCCUUGUAGCGGGGGAUAACUAUUGGAAACGAUAGCUAAUACCGCAUAACAAUGGAUGACACAUGUCAUUUAUUUGAAAGGGGCAAUUGCUCCACUACAAGAUGGACCUGCGUUGUAUUAGCUAGUAGGUGAGGUAACGGCUCACCUAGGCGACGAUACAUAGCCGACCUGAUAGGGUGAUCGGCCACACUGGGACUGAGACACGGCCCAUACUCCGACGGGAGGCAGCAGUAGGGAAUCUUCGGCAAUGGGGGCAACCCUGACCGAGCAACGCCGCGUGAGUGAAGAAGGUUUUCGGAUCGUAAAGCUCUGUUGUAAGUCAAGAACGAGUGUGAGAGUGGAAAGUUCACACUGUGACGGUAGCUUACCAGAAAGGGACGGCUAACUACGUG